CCUACGGGGUGCAGCAGUGAGGAAUAUUGGUCAAUGGCCGAGAGGCUGAACCAGCCAAGUCGCGUGAGGGAAGACGGCCCUACGGGUUGUAAACCUCUUUUGUCGGGGAGCAAAGCGAGUCACGUGUGACUCAUUGAGAGUACCCGAAGAAAAAGCAUCGGCUAACUCCGUGCCAGCAGCCGCGGUAAUACGGAGGAUGCGAGCGUUAUCCGGAUUUAUUGGGUUUAAAGGGUGCGCAGGCGGAGGUGCAAGUCAGCGGUCAAAUUGCGGGGCUCAACCCCGUACUGCCGUUGAAACUGCAGCCCUUGAGUGCGAGAGAAGUAUGCGGAAUGCGUGGUGUAGCGGUGAAAUGCAUAGAUAUCACGCAGAACUCCGAUUGCGAAGGCAGCAUACCGGCGCGCAACUGACGCUCAUGCACGAAAGCGUGGGUAUCGAACAGGAUUAGAUACCCGAGUAGUC
Molecule: ribosomal RNA, 459 nt
Filed under: uncultured bacterium
Lineage: Bacteria
Description: partial 16S ribosomal RNA
Rfam family: Bacterial small subunit ribosomal RNA
Source: RNAcentral